AAUAACAGUCUGAACAGAACCUUUGCCGAAAGACUUUUCGCCCAGAAUAACCGCACGCUUAUGAUCCUGCAAUGCGCCGGCUACAAUUUCGGAAGCCGAAGCGGAACCGCCGUUGAUUAAAACCACAAUCGGCAGGCCUUUGGCAAUAUCGCCUUUCUGGGCAGAAUAUCUGACCGUAUCUUCGGCAUUGCGGGAGCGGGUAGAAACAAUUUCGCCUUUGUCAAGGAACAAAUCCGUCACAUUAACGGCCUGAUCCAGCAGUCCUCCCGGAUUGUUGCG
RNAcentral lists this non-coding RNA (279 nucleotides) under human gut metagenome. The record is from RNAcentral.